This 1337-nucleotide ribosomal RNA is filed under the name Mammaliicoccus lentus. RNAcentral describes it as "bacterial SSU rRNA". It matches the Rfam family "Bacterial small subunit ribosomal RNA", at positions 74 to 1394 of the family's 1533-position model. The record is from RNAcentral. Lineage: Bacteria; Bacillati; Bacillota; Bacilli; Caryophanales; Staphylococcaceae.
AGAAGCUUGCUUCUCUGAUGUUAGCGGCGGACGGGUGAGUAACACGUGGGUAACCUACCUAUAAGACUGGGAUAACUCCGGGAAACCGGGGCUAAUACCGGAUAAUAUUUUGAACCGCAUGGUUCAAUAGUGAAAGACGGUUUCGGCUGUCACUUAUAGAUGGACCCGCGCCGUAUUAGCUAGUUGGUAAGGUAACGGCUUACCUAGGCGACGAUACGUAGCCGACCUGAGAGGGUGAUCGGCCACACUGGAACUGAGACACGGUCCAGACUCCUACGGGAGGCAGCAGUAGGGAAUCUUCCGCAAUGGGCGAAAGCCUGACGGAGCAACGCCGCGUGAGUGAUGAAGGUCUUCGGAUCGUAAAACUCUGUUGUUAGGGAAGAACAAAUUUGUUAGUAACUGAACAAGUCUUGACGGUACCUAACCAGAAAGCCACGGCUAACUACGUGCCAGCAGCCGCGGUAAUACGUAGGUGGCAAGCGUUAUCCGGAAUUAUUGGGCGUAAAGCGCGCGUAGGCGGUUUCUUAAGUCUGAUGUGAAAGCCCACGGCUCAACCGUGGAGGGUCAUUGGAAACUGGGAAACUUGAGUGCAGAAGAGGAGAGUGGAAUUCCAUGUGUAGCGGUGAAAUGCGCAGAGAUAUGGAGGAACACCAGUGGCGAAGGCGGCUCUCUGGUCUGUAACUGACGCUGAUGUGCGAAAGCGUGGGGAUCAAACAGGAUUAGAUACCCUGGUAGUCCACGCCGUAAACGAUGAGUGCUAAGUGUUAGGGGGUUUCCGCCCCUUAGUGCUGCAGCUAACGCAUUAAGCACUCCGCCUGGGGAGUACGACCGCAAGGUUGAAACUCAAAGGAAUUGACGGGGACCCGCACAAGCGGUGGAGCAUGUGGUUUAAUUCGAAGCAACGCGAAGAACCUUACCAAAUCUUGACAUCCUUUGACCGCUCUAGAGAUAGAGUCUUCCCCUUCGGGGGACAAAGUGACAGGUGGUGCAUGGUUGUCGUCAGCUCGUGUCGUGAGAUGUUGGGUUAAGUCCCGCAACGAGCGCAACCCUUAAGCUUAGUUGCCAUCAUUAAGUUGGGCACUCUAGGUUGACUGCCGGUGACAAACCGGAGGAAGGUGGGGAUGACGUCAAAUCAUCAUGCCCCUUAUGAUUUGGGCUACACACGUGCUACAAUGGAUAAUACAAAGGGCAGCGAAUCCGCGAGGCCAAGCAAAUCCCAUAAAAUUAUUCUCAGUUCGGAUUGUAGUCUGCAACUCGACUACAUGAAGCUGGAAUCGCUAGUAAUCGUAGAUCAGCAUGCUACGGUGAAUACGUUCCCGGGUCUUGUACACACCGCC